This 1697-nucleotide ribosomal RNA is filed under the name Triticum aestivum (bread wheat). RNAcentral describes it as "partial small subunit ribosomal RNA". Lineage: Eukaryota; Viridiplantae; Streptophyta; Magnoliopsida; Poales; Poaceae. The record is from RNAcentral.
GGCAGAGCUAGCGACUGAAUCUCAGCGCACAUCCCGUGGAGGACUACAGGAGCGAGACGGCCCGCCGCCGGCGGAAUCGAACGCGGCGGCGCCCCCUCUACGCCCUCCUGAGGCCCUGAGCCAGUCGGCGCGUGCCCCACCGAGCUUCGCCGCCCCGCGCCGCGACGCCGACCACUGAAUCACUGAUGACCUGAUCAGACCAGAUCAGGGGGGAAAGGUAAAAUUUUAGGGGCCCUAGAUACUCCUGACUGCUAGUAAGGCCUCAGUCUUGAUGACGAUGCCCGGAUUCUGCCCGUCAAUGGCGGCUCCAUCUGCCGGCCACCCUCCCAUCUGCCUCGCCGACGCUUCAGGGGCAGCGGGAUCCCAAGACAUGCUGCGGCCACGUCUGGUGCUCUUCGGCGACUCCAUCACCGAGCAGUCCUUCCGCCCCGGCGGGUGGGGAGCGGCCCUCGCCAACACCUACUCCCGCAAGGCUGAUGUUGUUGUCAGAGGCUAUGGUGGGUACAACUCAAGAUGGGCCCUGUUCCUGAUCCAGCGCAUUUUCCCCCUGGUUGGGUUACCACCUGUUGCGACGACUAUUUUCUUUGGCGCUAAUGAUGCAGCGCUUCCAGGACGAACAAGUCAGCGGCAACAUGUUCCGGUUGAGGAGUAUAGACAGAAUCUCAAAACAAUUGUUAAUCAUCUGAAGGAUUGUUCCAAGUCCAUGGUAAUUUUGCUUAUCACUCCACCUCCUAUUGAUGAAGAUGGAAGAGAAAGAUAUGCACGAUCGCUAUAUGGAGAAGAUGCGAGAAGGCUCCCUGAAAGGACAAAUGAAAUGGUUGGUGUCUAUGCAGGUCAAUGCAUAGAACUAGCCAAAGAAAUGGAUGUUCACUGCAUUGAUAUUUGGUCAAAGAUGCAAGCAGCUGAAGGUUGGCAGAAACUUUACUUAAGUGAUGGACUGCAUCUGACGCCGGAAGGAAACGCCCUGGUCCACAAGGAGGUCGUGCAGGCCUUGAGAGGAGCUGGUCUGAAACCUGAAGAUAUGCCGCACGACUUCCCUCAUCAUUCCAAAAUCGAUGGAAUUCACCCAGAAAAGGCCUUCCAGUGAGGUGAUUUCAGGCAGUGCGAUGUUAAAGCUUGAGCCGCGUGCUUCUCAUGUCUGGAGGUUUUGCUUUCCUCACGUUUCACUUUCUACCUUGUUGUGGAUUGUGAAAUUUCUGUGUCCAUUUUUACCCCUUCGAAAUAGUUGGGUACAUUGCUGUGGUAUAUACUUUGCAGUGAAAUUAUUGAUUUCGGGCUGUGGGCUGUUUAACUUUCAACUGCCUGCCUGCCUCCCAUGUCAUCUGUAGGCUUUUUGCUUUCCUCAUGCUUUAGUUUUUAUUUUAUUGUGAGAUUCUUAGUGUGAAUUUCAUGUCCAUUUUUACACCAUCAAAACAGGCGGCAUGUUGAUGCGGCGCCUCGGGCGAUCGGGUGCUGGAUUGUUUCGGUAUCGGAUUCCACAGCGUCGAUUACAGACCUUCCACUUUGUGGUUGAUGCUGAAGGCUUUUGUGCGGGGCUAGAAUGGCCACAUCUGUUGCUACGUCCUGUUACCUAUUUUUUCUCAGUAAUAAAACAGUAUUCUUGGGUAGGCAGGGUACCGUAGCUGAAGAAUUGUCGAGAACCUGAAGCAUGUUUGCUCAAGAUCUUUUGUCAUCUCUCCUUUGCAUGCCAAAAAAAU